CGUAAGAUUUUAUCAAAUUAAUAAUGCGAACAAUCUUGAAUCGUCAACGUGAUUAAUUUUUUUCAGCGCCAACAGUUUUUACGCAGCUGUGUUUGAUGCAAGAAAGAGAUAUGUCUCGUUUUAGCGUUACCAUCCGAUAAAAUUCAUCGCACAAUAUCCACGCGAUAAGAAGUCCACCUAGCAAGCAUGUAAAUAGUGUCAGGUGAUCGGGACUAUUUGUGCCAUUUUGGCUGCGCACUUUUCUGUCAUCGGAAUUUUGACGUUUCUCUUCUCGUCCGACCUCACUCACAAUCAGUACUUCUCCCACUGGAGAUUCAUCUCGCACAAUUAUUUCUCACUCUCCUGGUACAGAUACAGUGCAACAAAUUAAAGAUGUCCGAAAAAAUUCCAAGCAGUCAACCACAACCUAUUGUUAAAAUAGGCCAUUAUACAUUAGGCCAGACUUUAGGUGUUGGCACAUUUGGUAAAGUAAAAAUUGGAGAACACGUUUUAACAAAACAUAAAGUUGCUGUGAAGAUUCUGAAUCGUCAAAAAAUUAAAAGCCUAGAUGUUGUAGGCAAAAUUCGCAGAGAAAUACAGAAUCUUAAACUCUUCAGGCAUCCUCACAUCAUCAAAUUAUACCAGGUUAUAAGUACUCCUACAGACAUAUUCAUGAUAAUGGAAUAUGUCUCAGGUGGAGAGCUGUUUGAUUAUAUUGUUAAACAUGGUAAACUUAAGGAGUACGAAGCGCGACGAUUUUUCCAACAAAUUAUAUCGGGCGUCGAUUAUUGUCAUCGGCAUAUGAUAGUCCAUCGCGAUUUAAAGCCGGAAAAUCUUCUCUUAGAUCACAAUCUGCAUGUGAAGAUCGCAGACUUUGGUCUAUCGAAUAUGAUGAUGGAUGGUGAGUUCUUGCGUACUUCCUGCGGUUCUCCGAAUUAUGCCGCACCAGAAGUAAUAUCUGGCAAAUUGUACGCCGGUCCCGAGGUAGAUAUUUGGUCGUGCGGUGUUAUAUUGUAUGCGCUACUCUGCGGUACCUUACCAUUUGACGACGAGCACGUUCCUACCCUCUUCCGUAAGAUUAAAUCUGGUGUUUUUCCCAUUCCGGAAUAUUUGAACAAGACUGUUGUUAGCCUCUUGUGUCACAUGUUGCAAGUCGACCCGAUGAAGAGAGCAACUAUUGAAGACAUUAAAAAACAUGAGUGGUUCCAGAAGGAUUUACCAUCGUACUUGUUUCCGUCACCCGUCGAACAAGAUUCAUCCGUCAUCGACAUAGAUGCCGUGAAUGAAGUGUGCGAGAAAUUUAACGUCAAAGAACCGGAAGUACACUCCGCGUUAUUGGGCGGUGAUCCGCAUGAUCAGUUGGCGAUCGCUUAUCAUUUAAUAAUCGACAAUAAAAGAAUCGCAGAUGAAGCGGCUAAGGCUGAAUUAAAAGACUUUUAUGUGGCAUCUAGCCCACCACCGGUAGCGUUUAGUCCAAACGACGCCAGCAGCAGCCCCUUGAGGCCUCAUCCUGAAAGAAUUGCACCAUAUCGUGAACGUCAAGGUUCACAAGGUAGUACAUCCGCACAAAUGCAAGGCAAUCGCGGUACACCAGUGAAAAGAGCAAAAUGGCAUUUAGGUAUCAGAUCGCAGUCAAAGCCAAACGACAUUAUGAAUGAAGUUUAUCGUGCUAUGAAAGCACUUAACUUUGAAUGGAAGAUAAUAAAUGCUUACAGUGUUAGAGUACGACAUAAAAACAAUUUGACUGACAGAUACAGCAAAAUGUCAUUACAGUUAUAUCAAGUUGAUUACAAGAGUUAUUUAUUAGACUUCAAGUCCUUGUCGACCGAAGAGGAUGACAUUGGACGAGAUCCAACAUUGCCACCUCCGCAAGCGACAGGUCAUCACACAAUGGAAUUUUUCGAAAUGUGUGCAGCAUUAAUUACACAAUUGGCGCGAUAGCGUGCCUGGUUUUUAAAAAUUAAAUUCCGUUUUUGUGCUUUUAAAGGUGUAUAGUAUGAAAUAAAUGCAGACUAAGCAUUUGAUAGACAGGACGAAGAAACUUGAACUUUGAAGCAAGAAAAUAACAUCGCAUAAAACGCACCUAAUAUAACAAAAAAAAUUAAUAAAUUAAAAACAGCACAAUAGCUACAUAUAUUAUCAUUUAUUAUUAAAUGCUAUAAUUGAAUGUUACAUUAUUACAACUAUUAUAAAUUACAACACAAAUAUAUAUUUAUCUAAAUGAUUAUUAAUUCUAUCAUAUUGUAUAUCUAUAAAAUUGGUUUACUAUCAGAAAAACCAAAUAUGUGCAUAUGCUUAGAAAAAUAUACAUUAUAUAUUUUUA
RNA transcript from Nylanderia fulva, 2302 nucleotides. It is a transcript of the gene named AMP-activated protein kinase alpha subunit, with no coding region annotated. The record is from RefSeq and is a predicted model, not a curated record. Lineage: Eukaryota; Metazoa; Arthropoda; Insecta; Hymenoptera; Formicidae.